Molecule: ribosomal RNA, 789 nt
Filed under: Ditylum brightwellii
Lineage: Eukaryota; Bacillariophyta; Thalassiosirophyceae; Lithodesmiales; Lithodesmiaceae
Description: partial Bacterial small subunit ribosomal RNA
Rfam family: Bacterial small subunit ribosomal RNA
Source: RNAcentral
UUCCGAUCUGGGAUAACGAAGCGAAAGCUUUGCUAAUACCGCAUACGAUCUACGGAUGAAAGCAGGGGACCGCAAGGCCUUGCGCGAACGGAGCGGCCGAUGGCAGAUUAGGUAGUUGGUGGGAUAAAAGCUUACCAAGCCGACGAUCUGUAGCUGGUCUGAGAGGACGACCAGCCACACUGGGACUGAGACACGGCCCAGACUCCUACGGGAGGCAGCAGUGGGGAAUAUUGCACAAUGGGCGCAAGCCUGAUGCAGCGACGCCGCGUGAGGGAUGACGGCCUUCGGGUUGUAAACCUCUUUCAGCAGGGACGAAGCGCAAGUGACGGUACCUGCAGAAGAAGCACCGGCCAACUACGUGCCAGCAGCCGCGGUAAUACGUAGGGUGCAAGCGUUGUCCGGAAUUACUGGGCGUAAAGAGCUCGUAGGCGGUUUGUCGCGUCUGCUGUGAAAAUCCGGGGCUCAACCCCGGACUUGCAGUGGGUACGGGCAGACUAGAGUGCAGUAGGGGAGACUGGAAUUCCUGGUGUAGCGGUGAAAUGCGCAGAUAUCAGGAGGAACACCGGUGGCGAAGGCGGGUCUCUGGGAAAUAACUGACGCUGAGGAGCGAAAGCGUGGGUAGCGAACAGGAUUAGAUACCCUGGUAGUCCACGCCGUAAACGAUGUCAACUAGCCGUUGGGAGCCUUGAGCUCUUAGUGGCGCAGCUAACGCAUUAAGUUGACCGCCUGGGGAGUACGGCCGCAAGGUUAAAACUCAAAUGAAUUGACGGGGGCCCGCACAAGCGGUGG